This 433-nucleotide ribosomal RNA is filed under the name uncultured bacterium. RNAcentral describes it as "partial 16S ribosomal RNA". It matches the Rfam family "Bacterial small subunit ribosomal RNA", at positions 29 to 507 of the family's 1533-position model. The record is from RNAcentral.
AACGAACGCUGGCGGCAUGCCUAACACAUGCAAGUCGAACGAGACCUUCGGGUCUUGUGGCGCUCGGGUGCGUUCCGCGUGGGAAUUUGCACUUAGGUUCGGAAUAACUCCCCGAAAGGGGUCUUAAUACCGGAUAGUGUCAUCGGGCCAAAGAUUUAUCGCCUGUGGAUGUGCCCGCGUUGGAUUAGCUAGUUGGUAGGGUAAAAGCCUACCAAGGCGACGAUCCCUAGCUGGUCUGAGAGGAUGAGUAGCCACGCUGGGACUGAGACACGGCCCAGACUCCUACGGGAGGCAGCAGUGGGGAAUAUUGGACCAUGGGCGAAAGCCUGAUCCAGCAAUGCCGCGGGAGUGAGGAAGGCCGUAGGGUUGUAAAGCUCUUUUACCCGGGAUGAGAAUGACAGUACCGGGAGAAUAAGCUCCGGCUAACUCCGUG